Molecule: ribosomal RNA, 253 nt
Filed under: uncultured bacterium
Lineage: Bacteria
Description: partial 16S ribosomal RNA
Rfam family: Bacterial small subunit ribosomal RNA
Source: RNAcentral
UACGUAGGGUGCAAGCGUUGUCCGGAAUUAUUGGGCGUAAAGAGCUCGUAGGCGGUUUGUCGCGUCUGCUGUGAAAACCUGAGGCUCAACCUCGGGCCUGCAGUGGGUACGGGCAGACUAGAGUGCGGUAGGGGAGAUUGGAAUUCCUGGUGUAGCGGUGGAAUGCGCAGAUAUCAGGAGGAACACCAAUGGCGAAGGCAGAUCUCUGGGCCGUAACUGACGCUGAGGAGCGAAAGCAUGGGGAGCGAACAGG